This 497-nucleotide ribosomal RNA is filed under the name uncultured bacterium. Its description in RNAcentral is "partial 16S ribosomal RNA". It matches the Rfam family "Bacterial small subunit ribosomal RNA", at positions 28 to 507 of the family's 1533-position model. The record is from RNAcentral.
GAUGAACGCUGGCGGCGUGCCUAAUACAUGCAAGUCGAGCGAACAGACGAGGAGCUUGCUCCUCUGACGUUAGCGGCGGACGGGUGAGUAACACGUGGAUAACCUACCUAUAAGACUGGGAUAACUUCGGGAAACCGGAGCUAAUACCGGAUAAUAUAUUGAACCGCAUGGUUCAAUAGUGAAAGACGGUUUUGCUGUCACUUAUAGAUGGAUCCGCGCCGCAUUAGCUAGUUGGUAAGGUAACGGCUUACUAAGGCAACGAUGCGUAGCCGACCUGAGAGGGUGAUCGGCCACACUGGAACUGAGACACGGUCCAGACUCCUACGGGAGGCAGCAGUAGGGAAUCUUCCGCAAUGGGCGAAAGCCUGACGGAGCAACGCCGCGUGAGUGAUGAAGGUCUUCGGAUCGUAAAACUCUGUUAUUAGGGAAGAACAAUUGUGUAAGUAACUAUGCACGUCUUGACGGUACCUAAUCAGAAAGCCACGGCUAACUACGUG